RNAcentral lists this ribosomal RNA (350 nucleotides) under Tetragonurus cuvieri. RNAcentral's name for it is "partial 12S ribosomal RNA". It matches the Rfam family "Bacterial small subunit ribosomal RNA", at positions 893 to 1409 of the family's 1533-position model. The record is from RNAcentral. Lineage: Eukaryota; Metazoa; Chordata; Actinopteri; Scombriformes; Tetragonuridae.
GCUUAMAACCMAAGGRMKKGGMGGUACUUUAGAUCCCCCUAGAGGAGYYUGUUCUAUAACCGAUGACCCCCGUUCAACCUCACCCUCCCUUGUCUCUCCCGCCUAUAUACCGCCGUCGUCAGCUUACCCUGUGAGGGUUUAAUAGUAAGCAAAAUUGGUACCACCCAGAACGUCAGGUCGAGGUGUAGCGUAUGAGAGGGGAAGAAAUGGGCUACAUUCGCUAAAGUAGCGAAUACGAACGAUGCACUGAAAACGUUCAUCCGAAGGAGGAUUUAGCAGUAAGUGGAAAAUAGAGCAUUCCACUGAAAUCGGCUCUGAAGUGCGUACACACCGCCCGUCACCCUCYAAMA